This 82-nucleotide transfer RNA is filed under the name Oryctolagus cuniculus (rabbit). It matches the Rfam family "tRNA". Rfam says of the family: Transfer RNA (tRNA) molecules are approximately 80 nucleotides in length. Their secondary structure includes four short double-helical elements and three loops (D, anti-codon, and T loops). Lineage: Eukaryota; Metazoa; Chordata; Mammalia; Lagomorpha; Leporidae. The record is from Rfam by way of RNAcentral.
GGCGCUGUGGCAUAGCAGGUAAAGCCUCCACCUGCAGUGCCGGCAUUCUAUAAGGGCGCCGGUUCAAGCCCGGCCUGCUCCA